CGUUCCGGGCCUUGUACACACCGCCCGUCAAGUCACGAAAGUCGGUAACACCCGAAGCCGGUGGCCCAACCCUUGUGGAGGGAGCUGUCGAAGGUGGGACUGGCGAUUGGGACGU
This 115-nucleotide ribosomal RNA is filed under the name uncultured bacterium. RNAcentral's name for it is "partial 16S ribosomal RNA". It matches the Rfam family "Bacterial small subunit ribosomal RNA", at positions 1369 to 1483 of the family's 1533-position model. The record is from RNAcentral.